Molecule: ribosomal RNA, 266 nt
Filed under: uncultured bacterium
Lineage: Bacteria
Description: partial 16S ribosomal RNA
Rfam family: Bacterial small subunit ribosomal RNA
Source: RNAcentral
UGGAUUAGUGGCGGACGGGUGAGUAACACGUAUGGAACCUGCCCGCAGCAGGGGGAUAAGCGGAAGAAAUUCCGUCUAAUACCGCGUAACAACGUUGGGAGGCAUCUCCCGAUGUUUAAAGAUUUAUCGGCUGCGGAUGGCCAUGCGGCGCAUUAGCUAGUCGGCGGGGUAACGGCCCACCGAGGCGACGAUGCGUAGGGGUUCUGAGAGGAAGGUCCCCCACACUGGUACUGAGACACGGACCAGACUCCUACGGGAGGCAGCAG